CCUACGGGAGGCAGCAGUGGGGAAUAUUGGGCAAUGGGCGCAAGCCUGACCCAGCAACGCCGCGUGAAGGAAGAAGGCUUUCGGGUUGUAAACUUCUUUUAUCAGGGACGAAGCAAGUGACGGUACCUGAGGAAUAAGCCACGGCUAACUACGGGCCAGCAGCCGCGGCAAUACGUAGGUGGCAAGCGUUAUCCGGAUUUACUGGGUGUAAAGGGCGUGUAGGCGGGAAAGCAAGUCAGAUGUGAAAACCAUGGGCUCAACCUGUGGCCUACAUUUGAAACUGUUUUUCUUGAGUGCUGGAGAGGCAGGCGGAAUUCCUAGUGUAGCGGUGAAAUGCGUAGAUAUUAGGAGGAACACCAGUGGCGAAGGCGGUCUGCUGGACAGCAACUGACGCUGAGGCGCGAAAGCGUGGGGAGCAAACAGGAUUAGAUACCCUAGUAGUC
Molecule: ribosomal RNA, 443 nt
Filed under: uncultured bacterium
Lineage: Bacteria
Description: partial 16S ribosomal RNA
Rfam family: Bacterial small subunit ribosomal RNA
Source: RNAcentral